RNAcentral lists this ribosomal RNA (506 nucleotides) under uncultured bacterium. Its description in RNAcentral is "partial 16S ribosomal RNA". It matches the Rfam family "Bacterial small subunit ribosomal RNA", at positions 899 to 1397 of the family's 1533-position model. The record is from RNAcentral.
ACUCAAAGGAAUAGACGGGGGCUCACACAAGCGGUGGAGCAUGUUGCUUAAUUCGAAGCAACGCGAAGAACCUUACCCGGGUUUGACAUGCACGGAUUAGUCAUUGGAAACAGUGAUGACAAUCGCAAGAUUGGAACGUGCACAGGUGCUGCAUGGCUGUCGUCAGCUCGUGCUGUGAAGUGUUUGGUUAAGUCCAUUAACGAGCGCAACCCUUGUCGUUAGUUGCUAACAGGUAAUGCUGAGGACUCUAGCGAGACUGCCGGCGUCAAGCCGGAGGAAGGUGGGGAUGACGUCAAGUCCUCAUGGCCCUUACAUCCGGGGUUGCAAACGUGCUACAAUGGCGCGCACAGAGCGAAGCAAGGCCGCAAGGCGGAGCAAAUCGCAAAAAACGCGCCCCAGUUCGGAUUGAAGGCUGCAACCCGCCUUCAUGAAGUCGGAAUCGCUAGUAAUCGGAGAUCAGCUACGCUCCGGUGAAUACGUUCCUGAGCCUUGUACACACCGCCCGU